AAAAACAGUGAUCAAAGGUGACGCAGCAUCAAACUUAUUAAUAAUAUUAUUAUCACUAUCAAUGAUAUGAUGGAUCACUAUUAUUGAUCCAACAAUCCUUUGAAAUUGAAAAUAAAAAGAAGCAUAUCAUUAUCAUCUAUCUACACAAGCUAGCUAGCUGAGUGAGAGUGCGUGACAGAGUGGAGAAAAUGGCGAUAACAGUACCAAGUAUACAAUUAUUCAUUGAUGGAGAGUGGAAAGCUCCUAUCCUCAAUAUAAGAAUUCCAAUCAUCAAUCCCUCCACUGAAAACAUCAUAGGUAUGUACAUACCUUAAUCACUCUUAUGAUCUUCUCUUGCAAUAUACUAUAGGAGUAUAUCACUUUCUAAUAAUUUUAUUUGAUGAAAUCAAGUAUGAUGAAGUAUAUAUGAUAAUAAUAUUUAAUAUAACUACUUCUAAGUUGUGGCAUUAUGUGAAUGCUUGAUAUACAUGCAGG
This 474-nucleotide long non-coding RNA is filed under the name Trifolium pratense (red clover). RNAcentral describes it as "long non-coding RNA (TPRA_LNC012291)". Lineage: Eukaryota; Viridiplantae; Streptophyta; Magnoliopsida; Fabales; Fabaceae. The record is from RNAcentral.